RNAcentral lists this ribosomal RNA (509 nucleotides) under uncultured bacterium. Its description in RNAcentral is "bacterial SSU rRNA". It matches the Rfam family "Bacterial small subunit ribosomal RNA", at positions 9 to 517 of the family's 1533-position model. The record is from RNAcentral.
GAGUUUGAUCUUGGCUCAGAUUGAACGCUGGCGGCAGGCCUAACACAUGCAAGUCGAGCGGUAGAGAGAAGCUUGCUUCUCUUGAGAGCGGCGGACGGGUGAGUAAUGCCUAGGAAUCUGCCUGGUAGUGGGGGAUAACGCUCGGAAACGGACGCUAAUACCGCAUACGUCCUACGGGAGAAAGCAGGGGACCUUCGGGCCUUGCGCUAUCAGAUGAGCCUAGGUCGGAUUAGCUAGUUGGUGAGGUAAUGGCUCACCAAGGCGACGAUCCGUAACUGGUCUGAGAGGAUGAUCAGUCACACUGGAACUGAGACACGGUCCAGACUCCUACGGGAGGCAGCAGUGGGGAAUAUUGGACAAUGGGCGAAAGCCUGAUCCAGCCAUGCCGCGUGUGUGAAGAAGGUCUUCGGAUUGUAAAGCACUUAAGUUGGAGGAAGGCAGUAAUUAAUACUUUAGCUGUUUGACGUUACCGACAGAAUAAGCACCGGCUAACUCUGUGGCAGCCGCCG